RNAcentral lists this ribosomal RNA (303 nucleotides) under Triticum aestivum (bread wheat). Its description in RNAcentral is "partial small subunit ribosomal RNA". The record is from RNAcentral. Lineage: Eukaryota; Viridiplantae; Streptophyta; Magnoliopsida; Poales; Poaceae.
AACGAUAUUAUGAAUUUUAAACAACUCGAUCAUGAGCAUGUUGCCCAAUCUUGGGAAAGAAUGAAAUUGAUGAUUCGCAAUUGCCCUACUCAUGGUUUGAAUUUAUGGAUGCUCAUACAAAUUUUUUAUGCCGGAUUGAAUUUUGCUUCUAGAAAUCUUUUAGAUUCGGCCGCGGGAGGCACAUUUAUGGAAAUCACCUUAGGAGAAGCUACAAAACUCCUUGAUAAUACCAUGGCUAAUUAUUCUCAAUGGCACACCGAACGAUCUACUAGUAAAAAAUGUGCAUGUUAUAGAAGAAAUUAA